Molecule: ribosomal RNA, 253 nt
Filed under: uncultured bacterium
Lineage: Bacteria
Description: partial 16S ribosomal RNA
Rfam family: Bacterial small subunit ribosomal RNA
Source: RNAcentral
UACGGAGGGUGCAAGCGUUAUCCGGAUUCACUGGGUUUAAAGGGUGCGUAGGAGGGCAGGUAAGUCAGUGGUGAAAUCUUCGAGCUUAACUCGGAAACUGCCGUUGAUACUAUCUGUCUUGAAUCCCGUGGAGAUGAGCGGAAUAUGUCAUGUAGCGGUGAAAUGCUUAGAUAUGACAUAGAACACCAAUUGCGAAGGCAGCUCGUUACACGAAGAUUGACUCUGAGGCACGAAAGCGUGGGGAGCGAACGGG